This 253-nucleotide ribosomal RNA is filed under the name uncultured bacterium. Its description in RNAcentral is "partial 16S ribosomal RNA". It matches the Rfam family "Bacterial small subunit ribosomal RNA", at positions 524 to 776 of the family's 1533-position model. The record is from RNAcentral.
UACAGAGGGGGCAAGCGUUGUUCGGAAUUACUGGGCGUAAAGGGCGCGUAGGCGGCCUGCUAAGUCGAACGUGAAAUCCCUGGGCUCAACCCAGGAACUGCGUCCGAUACUGGUUGGCUUGAAUCCGGGAGAGGGAUGUGGAAUUCCAGGUGUAGCGGUGAAAUGCGUGGAUAUCUGGAGGAACACCGGUGGCGAAGGCGGGUCUCUGGGCCGAUAUUGACGCUGAGGAGCGAAAGCGUGGGGAGCGAACAGG